CAGUAGCCGCGGGAACACGUAGGGUGCAAGCGUUAAUCGGAAUUACUGGGCGUAAAGCGUGCGCAGGCGGUCCGUUAAGACAGAUGUGAAAUCCCCGGGCUUAGCCUGGGAACUGCAUUUGUGACUGGCGGGCUAGAGUAUGGCAGAGGGGGGUAGAAUUCCACGUGUAGCAGUGAAAUGCGUAGAGAUGUGGAGGAAUACCGAUGGCGAAGGCAGCCCCCUGGGCCAAUACUGACGCUCAUGCACGAAAGCGUGGGGAGCAAACAGGAUUAGAUACCCGCGUAGUCCCUGUCUCUUAUAC
This 301-nucleotide ribosomal RNA is filed under the name uncultured bacterium. RNAcentral describes it as "partial 16S ribosomal RNA". It matches the Rfam family "Bacterial small subunit ribosomal RNA", at positions 509 to 807 of the family's 1533-position model. The record is from RNAcentral.